UCAAAAAUGAAAAGAAAUUCAAGGAAAAAUUUCUCUUCAACCUUAAUUUGAAGGCGAUCCUUUUGGCGGAAAAUAGCCGAUUCGCCGGUACAAAUAAUAUAAAAUUCGUAAAGGUCUCGUGGUUUAGCCAUUACUGGAAAAGUAAAUAAAAAAAGGAAUAAUUGAAAGAGUAUGGAGGACAGCAAGAAAAUGCAGGAAUGUUGAAUGUACGUAUAUAAAACCAGAGAUGUGAUUGAUGAUGAGAAGAAAAAUACAGGGAAGGAGCGAUCCGGGAAGCCUCGAGGCAUCCUCAGGAUUUUCAGCGAUUUCUUAGGGUUGAAGGGGCUUUUGUCAGACAGUUUGAAUACAUUGAAGUUUCCCAUUUGAUGGGGAUAUUUUGGGCAAUGGCGGAGGGUUUGAACAUAUGCACCUCUGGAUUAUGGGCCCUGCAAGAGCGCCGCUUAUCUGUAGCAUACAAUACGGUUACUUAUUUGGUAAGAUCAGCAUUGCGCCUAAUUUUACUGGGUCGAUUCAUAGUCAGGGGCCCCGCCAGAUUCUCGUGAUCUGUACUAUCUCGUAAGCCUAUAUUUAGUUGGUGAGGGGCCAAUAGUUUCAGAAUAAGUAAAACGGUGUGCAUUUCUGGUGUCGACAGCCAGGAAAAGUGGAUUUAUACCAGAGCUUGCCCUGCUCGCCAAUCAAUGUUCUAACAUUCAUUCAAGGCAUAAUAAUAUCGACACACAAAUUUUUUUUAUUGAA
Molecule: long non-coding RNA, 735 nt
Organism: Cryptomeria japonica (Japanese cedar)
Lineage: Eukaryota; Viridiplantae; Streptophyta; Pinopsida; Cupressales; Cupressaceae
Exons: 2
Source: RefSeq, a predicted model, not a curated record